CAGCACCUCAAGUGGUCAGGAUGAUUAUUGGGCCUAAAGCAUCCGUAGCCGGCUCUGUAAGUUUUCGGUUAAAUCUGUACGCUCAACGUACAGGCUGCCGGGAAUACUGCAGAGCUAGGGAGUGGGAGAGGUAGACGGUACUCGGUAGGAAGGGGUAGAAUCCUUUGAUCUAUUGAUGACCACCUGUGGCGAAGGCGGUCUACCAGAACACGUCCGGCGGUGAGGGAUGAAAGCUGGGGGAGCAAACCGAAUUAGAGACCCGAGUAGUCC
Molecule: ribosomal RNA, 270 nt
Filed under: uncultured archaeon
Lineage: Archaea
Description: partial 16S ribosomal RNA
Rfam family: Archaeal small subunit ribosomal RNA
Source: RNAcentral